RNAcentral lists this ribosomal RNA (107 nucleotides) under Erinaceus europaeus (western European hedgehog). The record is from RNAcentral. Lineage: Eukaryota; Metazoa; Chordata; Mammalia; Eulipotyphla; Erinaceidae.
AUGAUAAAUCUGUCUAUGGCCAUACCACCCUGAACACACCCGAUCUCAGAAGCUAAGGGUCAGGCCUGGUUAGUACUUGGAUGGGGAAAAAUGAUAAAUUCAUCUUC